Molecule: long non-coding RNA, 1971 nt
Organism: Manacus vitellinus (golden-collared manakin)
Lineage: Eukaryota; Metazoa; Chordata; Aves; Passeriformes; Pipridae
Exons: 4
Source: RefSeq, a predicted model, not a curated record
CCCUGGCAGUGAAAGCCUCCCCUUCCAAGAAGAGCCGGAGCGGCCCCGCCAUUCCCAGACGGAGCUGCCCGGGGGGGAUCCCAGCCCAGCUCCACGGGGGCUCCGACCCCAAAGCACAAGUGACCACCGAGGCAGACGUGGAGCAAGGAUCCCACCUCGGCCGCCCGGAUCUCCUGCCCCGGACUCUGCCCGUGGACGAAGCCAACAGCGACUCGGUGGCCACCACCCUGUCCACGUCCUCCCUGGGCAGUGGGGGCCUCAAUUCCCCUGCCAACAGGUGUCCCCCCCCUUCUGUUUCCCCAGCGGCUCCCCCGGCCCCUCCAUCCCCGAGCGCUCCCUGGAGCUGAGGGAGCAGCUCCAGGACCUGCAGGAGACAGAGAUCAGCUUUUGAAUCUGCACCGACAGCGCCGCGAUGGACCCGGGUUUGUCCCCACAAACCCUCCUUCAUCCUCUUGGUUUUUUAAAACUCUCCGGACAAAAUCCUGGAAGCUGGAAGGCCCUGGAUACACCUGGGAUGGUGUUCAAGCCCCAGGGGCACCUGGAAGUCUCCUCAAUCCCACCCUGUGGAUUCUCCUGCCUCGGAAUCCCACUGGGAAGAGGAGGAGGAGGAGGAUGGAGCUGCUCCAUGAAACCCUUGGGAAAAGGAUCUGACUUUUCAGGGAGAAAAAAACCCUCCCUGGGGAAUUCCCAGUGGGAAAAAAGGGCAUUGGAGCCUCCUCAGUGCCAGAAGAAAACGUGAUUUCUUUUAUAUCUUCCACCAGGUGGUUUUUUUUUUAAUUUAAUUGCUCCUCCCAAAUUCAAUCCUGGCCCUUUUUUUAGUGCUGCAAGUCCGGGAAUUCUUAGGAUAUUUUAUUAAUAAAAUAGGGUUUGUUUUAGGUUUUUGUUUUUUCUUUUUUCCAGUGUUUGCACCAGGAAAUAUCCCACGGGAGAGAAGGGGGAGGAGCAGAACCCAAGGAAAAGCUCCUGUCUCCCCCUCCUCCCUUCUCCACCUCCCAGGAUUUUUGGGAUCAGGGAGGAUUUGGGAAUCUCUCCCAGCCCCAGUUUUUAAGCUCCUCCCUUCCUGGGAUUUGCAGGGUGAAGGGGCACUUUUUUUAAAAAGUUUUUUCCUAAAAAAAAACCCACCAAAACCAAACCACCAAACCAGGACCAAACCCACCAGCUCCAAUCCCAUCCCUGUUUUUAUAACUCCUUUUGAUAUCCCACCUGGAUCCCGAGCGAAGCCAAAACUCCCGAGGCCGAAACGGGACAGAAAUCCCAAAAAUUUCCAGGUGUUUUUUUGGAAGCUUGAUUUUUAAAAAACAUAUUUUUGGGGUUCAGAAGGAGGGAUUUUCCUGCUGCCACGUGCCUCUGGAUACCCCUGGAUACCUUUGGACACCCCCUGAGCCUCCCAGAUCCCGGAGCAGACCUCGGACGUUUUAUUUUCACUUCAAAUGGUUGUUUUUUUAAAGGCAAAAAACCCAAGAAAAACCAAAAAAAAAAAACAGGAAUGAAGUGACUCUUCAAGGUUGGAAACUUCCCUUCUUUUUGUUUUUUCUUUUUUACAGAGCUCUGAAAAAAAAAACCCCAGGAAUUUAUAAAGAUUCCUCUGGGAAUUUUCCUCAAGGGAGCGACGAAUGUAGAGCAGAAAAGGAGUUUUUUUUUUAGUUGAUAUUCCAGAGUUUCUCUUCCCAACUCCCCCUUCUCUGGUAUUUUUUUAAGGAAAAGCUGGGGGUGGUUUUUUUUGAUUUUUAAUUUUUUAAAAAAAUGUCCUUUUUUGCUCCAAAAAGCCCACGUGGAACGGCCUUACCUUGGGGGGGUGUGGAGCAGGAGUUUGGAUCUCAAAGGGCUCCUCCAACCCUUCUCCAAUCCUGCUGGAGUUUUUUUUUUCCCCCCUUCUCCCAGCAGAUUCCCCCACUUUUCUCCCUGGAAUAACUGUCUAUAUUAGACACUUUUUUUUCCCCUUCCCUUCCCAGCUCAGAUUGGUUCCUUGUG